This 1261-nucleotide long non-coding RNA is filed under the name Hordeum vulgare. RNAcentral describes it as "long non-coding RNA (HVUL_LNC008360)". Lineage: Eukaryota; Viridiplantae; Streptophyta; Magnoliopsida; Poales; Poaceae. The record is from RNAcentral.
AUAGACUUGUGAUGAUAGGAUCUAAAAGUAUAAUAACAAAAAAGUUGGGCCAAUUCAAUAUGAUCACUCUACUAACAUCAUACUCUAGAUUUCGUUUGGCAUCUUUUUUACAGUUCAACAAAUGCCCAUUAAUAGGAAUACAUGAUCAUCAGACAACACUUGAGCUAGUCCUAAAGGCUAUACUAGGUAUCAAGUUUUACUGUUUAUCAUUCUACACGUGCUUAUGAGUUUUCUCCUAGAUCACAUAUUCAAGAACCAUAGCAGUUAUAGCAUAAAAUUAUCUUUUAAUUAUAAUCGUGGAAAUAAAUAAUACAAUUACUAUUGCCUCCAGGGCAUAUUUUCAACAAUUGUGUCUACCUCGGUGAGAAUCUUAUCUCUUGCUCAUCGAAACGCCAACACCCAAUUUCUCGAUCGAGUGCUGAACUGAGUACCAAGAUGUCAUCAAUGCUGUUGCUGAAGCUAGUUGGCUUCGUAAACUCAUGUCGGAACUGCAUCACCCCCUACCCCAUGCCACCAUCAUCUUUUGCGACAACGAUAGCACGGCUACAUGUCUACGUACCUGGUUCAACAUAACAGACCAGACAUAUCGAGAUUUAUGUGCACUUUGUCUAUGACCGUGUCUCCCUUGGAUACAUCCGCGUGAUACAUGUACCCUCCUCUCGACAGUUUGCUGAUAUAUUCACCAAGGGGCUGCCGCCCCCUCGUUCUUGGACUUCCGGUCUAGCCACAACAACCGAGAAUCUCUUGUCGUGUCUACGGUGGAGUGUUAGGCAAACAGAAUAUCCUUGAUAUUAUGUUGUCCCUUCCCAAAUUAGCGCAUGUGUAAUUAGCGAUAUCAGGCUAUUAUGACAGGGAUUGUAAUUGGGAUUGUGUUCCAUGUAGAAGGUCCUGAUUCUGGUCUCUAUUCCCAAACUUUCAAUGUGGAUCCACACGUCCGGCGAGUGUUUUGGUAGUGUGUGUACCGGCAUCCACAUGACAUUCUAACAGAGCAAAGCAGAUAGGCCCACCAUGUCUCGAGGAUGAAGCUCGUGAUGAGGGAUCUCAUCAUAGAUCUAUGAAAUGGUCUGUCAUGCAUUAGCUUCGCCGUCGACCACGCCAACACACUGUGUUGUUAUGGAUGUGUGAUCGGAAGAUCUUAGCAUCGAUAUCUGGUAGUGACAAAACAAUUAACAGAAUGUAUAUAAUGAGACUUAUCAGGGCUACAGCACACACGUGUGAUCGAGCUAAAACAACCCGAUCAGACAAGCUGUUUCAUUGAUUU